CGGGGUGUGGUGUAACGGCAGCACGCAUGCUUUGGGAGCAUGUAGUCCGAGUUCAAAUCUCGGCACCCCGACCA
This is a transfer RNA of 74 nucleotides. It matches the Rfam family "tRNA". Rfam says of the family: Transfer RNA (tRNA) molecules are approximately 80 nucleotides in length. Their secondary structure includes four short double-helical elements and three loops (D, anti-codon, and T loops). Further hydrogen bonds mediate the characteristic L-shaped molecular structure. tRNAs have two regions of fundamental functional importance: the anti-codon, which is responsible for specific mRNA codon recognition, and the 3' end, to which the tRNAs corresponding amino acid is attached (by aminoacyl-tRNA synthetases). tRNAs cope with the degeneracy of the genetic code in two manners: having more than one tRNA (with a specific anti-codon) for a particular amino acid; and 'wobble' base-pairing, i.e. permitting non-standard base-pairing at the 3rd anti-codon position.